This 465-nucleotide ribosomal RNA is filed under the name uncultured bacterium. RNAcentral describes it as "partial 16S ribosomal RNA". It matches the Rfam family "Bacterial small subunit ribosomal RNA", at positions 338 to 795 of the family's 1533-position model. The record is from RNAcentral.
CCUACGGGUGGCUGCAGUAGGGAAUCUUUCACAAUGGGCGAAAGCCUGAUGGAGCAACGCCGCGUGGGGGAAGAAGGCCUUCGGGUUGUAAACCGCUUUUGUUAGAGAGGAAAGUGCUGGAAAGUAAUUAUUCACGUUUCGACGGUAUCUAACCAGAAGGCCACGGCUAACUACGUGACAGCAGCCGCGGUAAUACGUAGGUGGCAAGCGUUAUCCGGAUUUAGUGGGCAUAAAGGGAACGCAGGCGGGGUAUUAAGUCUGAGUUGAAAGCCGUCGGCUUAACCGGGGUAGUGCAUGUGAAACUGGUAGACUUGAGAGCGUAAGAGGAGAGUGGAACUCCAAGUGUAGCAGUGAAAUGCGUAGAUAUUAGGAAGAACACCAGUGGCGAAAGCGGGUUUCUGGGCUGUAACUGACGCUGAGGUUCGAAAGCGUAGGGAGCAAACAGGAUUAGAUACCCGUGUAGUC